AGGUAAAAGAUACUUCUUAUUAGUGCAAAUCAUUAAGAAAAAAUGAAAAUCACUCGUUCUGCUUCUCCCUCGCUAGGCGCUCUCUCUGAAGCGAAUUAGUUCCCCCAAAUCCCUGCCUUAGGUAUUUUCAGUCCUCAAUUUCCUUCAAUUCGUGUUUGUAAGUAUAAUUAGGGUUCCGUGCUAAGAAUCGAGUGCGGGGGGCCAUUUAGAGCAAACAUUUGUGCUAAGCAGCUGGUGGAGACAGUAACAAUGAGGUCGAUAAAGGAUAGGCUUAGCAAUGACGCUUUUUACAAAUUGCCUGAGGUAACAAAGAGGUCGAUAUGAUGAUUUCACUCGUCACUCGCCGGAGACAAAUUACUGGCAAGAGAUAAUGCUUAAUUAUACAGCAAAGCUGGAGUACCUUUGGUAGUGGGAACAACUGGUGGAGAUACAGAGAAGUUGUACUAAACUAUGUCAGAGUCAAAAGUUUAUGUUGUGAUCUCCCCGUAAAUGGGAAAGCAGGGAUGAAAUUCUUGGUAGAAGAAUUCCCUGGAGCUCUCUUUGGGUACAGGUUACAAGAAUUCCACCUAUUUUUCCACAACUCAGAUACAUAAUAGCCUAAAUCUUUCAGCUACUCACAAGUCUUAAAGCUCAGAUAUGGAGAAGCCACUGAAGAAAGAAAUAUAUUUGUGUAAUAUUUUCAAUACAAUUUUCCAUUCAUAUAUUGUAUGACUGAGCAAUUGUCUUUCUCUUAUUUCAUAUCCAGAGCUAUGAUUAUAAGUUUCUGAAAACAUAUCAGAAUCAGAACCAAGACCCCUGUAACUCGGAGAAGAUCUUGAUCAGUUGAAGGUUCUUGAGAAUGGAUACACGGUGAAGUGGCAUACACCUUCAAAUGGCGAGCUUGUUCAAGGAAUGACACACUGAUCCAGAAAGCUGUCACAUUUUGCAUUAGGGAACAUACACUGACU
This is a long non-coding RNA of Solanum stenotomum, 947 nucleotides long. RefSeq lists it as uncharacterized. Lineage: Eukaryota; Viridiplantae; Streptophyta; Magnoliopsida; Solanales; Solanaceae. The record is from RefSeq and is a predicted model, not a curated record. The transcript is spliced from 4 exons.